GACGAACGCUGGCGGCGUGCUUAACACAUGCAAGUCGAACGGAAAGGCCCUGCUUUUGUGGGGUGCUCGAGUGGCGAACGGGUGAGUAACACGUGAGUAACCUGCCCUUGACUUUGGGAUAACUUCAGGAAACUGGGGCUAAUACCGGAUAGGAGCUCCUGCUGCAUGGUGGGGGUUGGAAAGUCUCGGCGGUUGGGGAUGGACUCGCGGCUUAUCAGCUUGUUGGUGGGGUAGUGGCUUACCAAGGCUUUGACGGGUAGCCGGCCUGAGAGGGUGACCGGCCACAUUGGGACUGAGAUACGGCCCAGACUCCUACGGGAGGCAGCAGUGGGGAAUAUUGCACAAUGGGCGGAAGCCUGAUGCAGCAACGCCGCGUGCGGGAUGACGGCCUUCGGGUUGUAAACCGCUUUCGCCUGUGACGAAGCGUGAGUGACGGUAAUGGGUAAAGAAGCACCGGCUAACUACGU
Molecule: ribosomal RNA, 467 nt
Filed under: uncultured bacterium
Lineage: Bacteria
Description: partial 16S ribosomal RNA
Rfam family: Bacterial small subunit ribosomal RNA
Source: RNAcentral